GGAAUUGUGGCUCAAGCCGUAGAGCGCUCGUCUAGCACGUGCGAGGCCCUGGGUUCGAUCCUCAGCACCA
This 70-nucleotide transfer RNA is filed under the name Marmota monax (woodchuck). Its description in RNAcentral is "tRNA.Ala". Lineage: Eukaryota; Metazoa; Chordata; Mammalia; Rodentia; Sciuridae. The record is from RNAcentral.